Non-coding RNA from Pimephales promelas (fathead minnow), 103 nucleotides. NCBI's taxonomy places the organism in Eukaryota, Metazoa, Chordata, Actinopteri, Cypriniformes, Leuciscidae. The record is from RefSeq and is a predicted model, not a curated record.
AACACAGACAUCAUCGACCGCAGGAUCCUCUACCACCAGAAACCCCUUCAGAAUUAGAUCCCAAGAAGAAAAAGAAAAAGAGGGAUGAUGACCCUGAUCGCAA